AUGAACGCUGGCGGCAUGCCUAACACAUGCAAGUCGAUCGGUAAGGCUCUUCGGAGUACACGAGAGGCGGACGGCUGAGUAACGCGUAGGAACACACCCUGCAGUGAGGGAUAAGACACCGAAAGGUGUUCUAAUACCGCAUACGGUCUUCGGAUUAAAGCAUUUAUGCGCUGAAGGAGUGGCCUGCGUCAUAUUAGAUAGUUGGUGAGGUAAUGGCUCACCAAGUCGAUGAUGUGUAGCUGGUCUGAGAGGAUGAUCAGCCAGACUGGAACUGAGACACGGUCCAGUCUCCUACGGGAGGCAGCAGUGAGGAAUAUUGCACAAUGAGCGAAAGCUUGAUGGAGCAAUGCCGCGUGCAGGAUGAAGGCCCUCGGGUUGUAAACUGCUUUUAUAAGAGAAGAUUAUGACGGUAACUUAUGAAUAAGGGACGGCUAACUACGUG
This 442-nucleotide ribosomal RNA is filed under the name uncultured bacterium. RNAcentral's name for it is "partial 16S ribosomal RNA". It matches the Rfam family "Bacterial small subunit ribosomal RNA", at positions 29 to 507 of the family's 1533-position model. The record is from RNAcentral.